Taeniopygia guttata (zebra finch) is the source of this 3378-nucleotide non-coding RNA. The record is from RefSeq and is a predicted model, not a curated record. Lineage: Eukaryota; Metazoa; Chordata; Aves; Passeriformes; Estrildidae.
UGAAAGGACGGAGCCCGUGGCACAGUGACCCACGCUGCAGCACUUGGAGGGGGCUGUGCCCCAGGGCAUGGACUCGGCUCGGAGAAGUUCCUGGAGAAGUCUCGGCUGGGAGAGAGGGCAGGGUGCAGCAGGGAACGACUCCUGUCCCUGAGCAGAGGGAGAAGCCGCGGGGGAUGAGCUGAGCACGGCCCCAUUCCCUGUCUCCUGCCCUGCCGGGGGAGGAGGUGCAGCUGGGAGCAGGGAGCCGUGGGGAAAGCUGCAUUUAAGGCUCUGCACUGACUUCUCCUUAUCCUGCUCUGAGUCUUUGGAGUUUUCUGCCAGAAAUCUCUCCCCUCCCCCGCUCCCCCACAAGGCUUUGGGCAGGUUUCCCUUUUUGGGGGAAAUCAAAGCCAAGCACCGAUGCACUAAUGAGGGGCAGGAGAAGGGAGGCUCCCGGGCUUCCCGCAGAGCCGGAGGCACGGAAGGCGCAGGGCCGGGAAAGCCGUGGCGGGAGGUGCGGAGAAGUUUGUUUGUGUGGGCAGCUCAAUCCCGCCUCGGGCCCGGGCCCGUCCCGGGGCUGUUGCUCAUCUCCGGCUUUGCCCUCACGCAGCGCGGGGGGCCCUGAGAGCGCGGGGCGAGUCUGGGCCGUGCGCAGAGCCCGCCCCCAGCUCGCUGCCAUUGGCCGCUGGUGCCGUCAGUCGUAAUUGCGGCGCGCUGAUUGGUGGGAGCGGGGCGCAGCACGGCCCCGGCGGCGGGCUGAGGGCGGCCGUGGGCGGGCAGCGGCGCCAUUGGCGCCAGGAGGGUCUGUGCGGGCCCGGGAGCGGCGGCAGCGGCCGGAGCGCGGUGAGGCGGCGGCGGCGGAGCUCGGAGGCGGCCCCGGCGCAGGCGUUUGUGGAUCAGGAGGCCUGGCUGCCACCUGCAUCCCCUGGCUCAGCUGCUGGAUGAGCUGCACUGCCAAGGUGUGGAGCAUGGUAAAAAGAUGAGAGUUGCUGCAGCACAGAAGAGGAGAAGCAGCAUUCGUGUAACCCCUGGUGUGCCGGGGAGCCACGAAUGUGUGUCCCAUUCCCAUCCUUUCUAUGUGUGGACCAAUACAUAAACUGCUGUCCUAUUUCCUUUCUCAUCUUUUUCAGCGCUUUCCUUUGUCAACUCUUUGCCAACAUCAGUUGGAGUCAUUUAUUUUCCCCCAGACUCCUGUUUUUUCUGCUCACAGAUAAUCUGACCCCAUCCCCUUGUGAAAUGCUCCGUUCCUCAUUUCAGUGGAUUGGUCGGCAGGAAGGUCAGGAGCUGGAGCUGUCUGGUUGGUUCUUAUUCCGAGGACAGCUUGUAAUCUAAUGAUGCCAUUGAAAUGAUAAAUGGGUUCUCUGCCUCCUGAUAUGAAUUGGUUCGGGUUCCCAGGGGCUGGUCCGUGGUGUUGUAGGAUUUGUUCUGGUGGCCCUUCAUCUUUUCCCCAUUUUUGGGUGCUCCCUGCAGCCGGGGCUGCAUCAAUUGACCACUUUUUUCUAAUUACAUCAUCAAAUACUUGAAUUCCAACUGAUCUCCCUGAACUUGUUAUAGCAAAAGCCCCAGUGCUCUGAUACACCCUGUAGAGCACAGACAGUGACAGCAGAUGUUGGAGUGGGCAGAGGGACGACCCCCCCCCUCCCUUUAUUUUAGUGAAGUUUUCACAACAUUCUCCAUUUGCUGUUUCCGUUUGCAGCUUUACCCAUUUCUGUUGCAGAGUCAGAGAUCCUCACCAUGGGCUCUGCCUUCAGCCGUGCAGAUUCCAUCUGUGCAAGCAGGCAGAGCUUGGGGUGAGGGGCAGAGGGAAUCAGCCAAUUCCUGACCCAGGCAAGAAGAGCCAGGUACAUUGUCCCCACUCUGCCCCAGCAGUGUUAAUUUGCAUUUCUAAAGCUCCUCCUGGGUGCCUGGAAUGCAGCUUCUCUUCCAGAGCAGCCUUCAGCAACCUCACCUGUGCCCCGCCACAACCUGGGGCUUUUUUUUGCCCCUUCAAAUCAUCUGUUUAAUGUUUAUAAGUUAAAAGGUCACCUUUAAAUCUCUUCUAGUUUUGCAAAAUGCAGCCUAAAGGUGAAUGUCGAAAAACCCUGACCAAAAUUUUGCCAUCGCUAAAAGCAAUGCACAAAGACACUAAAAAGUUCCAAGGCAAUUAAUUUUUUUCUCAUUCUUCUCGGAGUAAAAACUCAUUCUCACAUCCCUCACCAAACCUAACCAGCAAUAUAGAAGUAGGAUUAUUUUUAAAAAUACUCUAAUGCUAUAUACUUUGCACUGAAACUGCAGGAAAAAGCAAAACUCCACCAAUCUAUUUAGUGUUAGAGUCAAGGUAUUCCUUGAUUCUGGCUAGGAUGAGCAACAGAGAUCCUUCCAUCCCCACAUAGCCCAGGUGUGCAGAGAAAAUCGUUCCAUGACACAUGGGUUUUACUCUAUUUUUCCCAAACUUGAUACAGUCUGAACCAGUCUAAAUCCACUGGUUUAAUGUUCUGUAGUUUCAAGUUUUGCAGUUUUUAGUAUUUGGUUUCCUAUUGGACCCGGAUUUCUUUGCUUCUGCUGUUAAUGAGGUGGGAAGUGCUGGAUUUCCUUCUCAGCCUUUUGCAGACCAGGUGUCUGCGGCUCUGGGGGGGCAGUGUCUGGGGUAGGUGUUGGUCGCUGUUGCUGCUGGGGUUGAUGUUUUGCUGCUGGUCAUUAUCUUUGUGGGUAUCUCUGUGUGUUGAGGUGUUAAACUCAUUUCCAUUGAGUGGUGUAACAUCCCUUAACAAAACCAUUAACAUUUCUUUCCCCAGGGCCAAGGCAAACCAAGCCCGAGUAGAGAAAUCAAAGGUUAACCAUGUUAAAGUCUAUGAGCUGGUGUAUUUUCCAUCAAUGCCAUGGCAGGCAGGGCAGUGUGUGAGUGUAAGUGAGAGCCAGAGUGGAAUUGUCCCGUGCUCUUGCCCAGCAGCUGUGGCAGGGCAGGCCCAGAGAGCGCUGAAGCUGCAGCAGUGGCAGCAAGGGCUGUCCCCGGUGGCUGGAGCUGCCAAAGGAGGGUGGCCAGGCCGAGGAUUUCAGCAGAGGAUGUGUGGGCAGCCCCAGGGCCUUGCCCCGCUGUGGAGCCCUGGCUGCUGCUGCGCUGCCUUCAGUGCAGCUCAGUGGGGGCCUCCCAUCCUCCUGCUGCAGGCGGGAAGUGCAAAUCUCCGGGGCUGCAGAGACCUGGAGCCGAGGCUGAGGGGUCCCCCCCGUGCUCAGCUGUGCUGGCGGCUGUUUCUGGCCUCGGGGCCACUUGGCACGGGCCACGCCACUUGGCCACCAGUGGUGCUGCUCUGCACUCCUUAGGCAGGAGCCGAUGUCCUGCUGGGAUGUUGGCAACAGCAAAGUGCCAAGGCAGGCUCUGUGCCAGCCCAGCUUCCUGGGGGAGAGAUUGCACCAGAGACA